RNAcentral lists this ribosomal RNA (253 nucleotides) under uncultured bacterium. RNAcentral's name for it is "partial 16S ribosomal RNA". It matches the Rfam family "Bacterial small subunit ribosomal RNA", at positions 524 to 776 of the family's 1533-position model. The record is from RNAcentral.
GACGUAGGAUGCAAGUGUUAUCCGGAAUCACUGGGCGUAAAGCGUCUGUAGGCGGUUUAAUAAGUCAACUGUUAAAUCUUGAGGCUCAACCUCAAAAUCGCAGUCGAAACUAUUAGGCUAGAGUAUAGUAGGGGUAAAGGGAAUUUCCAGUGGAGCGGUGAAAUGCGUAGAGAUUGGAAAGAACACCGAUGGCGAAGGCACUUUACUGGGCUAUUACUAACACUCAGAGACGAAAGCUGGGGUAGCAAAUGGG